UGCUCUUGUUAUCUUCCUGAAAAUGAAACUUAGAGAAGGCAUGUUCUUUGCUCAAGAUCACACAACUGGCACAAUAAACAACAGAAAAAGCUAGAAAGACCAAGCUGAGUCUCCUGGGACUUUGAUGGAGAACUUGGGAUACAACAAUAUUGGAAGGAUCAUCAUCUGUGAAAGACUUACCUACCCUGAUCCUGAUCCAGACAAUGAUCCAAGACAAUUCCAAAGGACUGAUGAUGAAAAAUGCACCUACAGAGAGAAAAUGGAUGGCAUUGCGGAUAGC
RNAcentral lists this long non-coding RNA (280 nucleotides) under Sarcophilus harrisii (Tasmanian devil). Its description in RNAcentral is "lncRNA (ENSSHAG00000025515.1)". The record is from RNAcentral. Lineage: Eukaryota; Metazoa; Chordata; Mammalia; Dasyuromorphia; Dasyuridae.